CCCAGUUAUAACCCGUCUCUUUCCCAUUUCAAUCUCUUCUCCUCUCAUCACCUUCUCUACCCCCUCCCCCCUUCUCCGGCGACGUCACCAUUAUUGUUGCCAGUCACCGCCGCCGCCGUCCCUACCCAGCUGAAAAAAGCUUGUUUCAGAUAUAACAUUGAAAAAAGAGUUUGCCUAAUUGACUACUUCCUCCAAAUCUGUCCCCCAUUUUCUACGCUCUCACACUUUCUUCACUUCAUUUUCCCCAUAUCUCACGCCCUUCUCUUCUUCCAAUAGUCUCCACCUUCAUUUUCCAUCUUCUAGUUGUUUGUGCUUGAUUUAAGAGAUCAUUGUGCUGCCUCUAUUGACAACUUUGACGAUCAGUAGACAACAUCCUUAAUCUUUCUGAUACCUCAACGAAGACAUUCUUUGAGCCAUUUCGACAUUUUAGAGAUCUGAGAGGGAUAAUGCACUUGACAAUCUUGACGGUGUAGUGAUAUGACUAUUCUGGCUAUGGAAUUAGCCAGGAAGAUUUGAUUCUUUAUGGGCAAUCUGUUGGAAGUGGCCCAACAUUACACUUAGCAGCUAAAUUACCACGGUUGAGAGGUGUGGUUCUGCACAGUGGCAUUCUUAUUAGGUGUGGUUCUGCACAGUGGCAUUCUUAUCAGACUUCUUAUGCAGUGUUUACUUGAUAAAGAAAUUGACAUUUCAUUGGAAAAUGAUUGAAGUUUAAACAAGUGAUGAGGUUGGUUACCAGACAACUUGCUUCGAGGGGGAUUCCGUCAUAUCCUGAUGAUGCUCGUAACCCCCAUACUCAAUCUAGUGGUGCGGAUGAUGAUGGGACUCACGUGUCAAACACACAAAGGCAUGUUUGAAUGUUAAUGUUGUGGUGGAUUUGUGGAUUGUGUAAGUGUUUUGUGGAUGUUUGCGAGGGGUGAAGUAGUCUAAUGUUGUAGACUUAAUGUAGACUUGUUUAAUGUUUUGUGGAUGUUUGCAAAGGUUGAAGUAGUUUAAUGUCUCUUGUGAAUGUUUGAAUGAUGUUUUGAUUUAACUUUGAAGUAGUUUCGAAUUGAAUUUGAUGUAUUAGUGAUUGUAAUAUAUGUGUUUGUUGAAGUAGCUUAAUGUUUUAUGUAUUUGUAGUAGUUUGGUGAAUUGUUGGCAGCUAUUU
Molecule: long non-coding RNA, 1147 nt
Organism: Lycium barbarum (goji berry)
Lineage: Eukaryota; Viridiplantae; Streptophyta; Magnoliopsida; Solanales; Solanaceae
Exons: 5
Source: RefSeq, a predicted model, not a curated record